UCCGUAAGUGAACCUGCGGAUGGAUCAUUU
Molecule: ribosomal RNA, 30 nt
Filed under: Ustilago cynodontis
Lineage: Eukaryota; Fungi; Basidiomycota; Ustilaginomycetes; Ustilaginales; Ustilaginaceae
Description: partial 18S ribosomal RNA
Source: RNAcentral